UACGUAGGCAGCAAGCGUUGUUCGGAGUUACUGGGCGUAAAGGGUGCGUAGGCGGCCCUGUAAGUAUGGUGUGAAAUCUCCCGGCUUAACUGGGAGGGUGCGCUAUAGACUGCGGGGCUCGAGUGUGGGAGAGGAAAGUGGAAUUCCUGGUGUAGCGGUGAAAUGCGUAGAUAUCAGGAGGAACACCGGUGGUGUAAACGGCUUUCUGGACCAUAAACUGACGCU
RNAcentral lists this ribosomal RNA (225 nucleotides) under uncultured bacterium. RNAcentral describes it as "partial 16S ribosomal RNA". It matches the Rfam family "Bacterial small subunit ribosomal RNA", at positions 524 to 747 of the family's 1533-position model. The record is from RNAcentral.